This 345-nucleotide unclassified non-coding RNA is filed under the name soil metagenome. RNAcentral describes it as "partial contains 5.8S ribosomal RNA, internal transcribed spacer 2, and large subunit ribosomal RNA". The stretch from base 1 to 120 matches the Rfam family "5.8S ribosomal RNA", at positions 35 to 154 of the family's 154-position model. The record is from RNAcentral.
GAUGAAGAACGCAGCGAAAUGCGAUAAGUAAUGUGAAUUGCAGAAUUCCGUGAAUCAUCGAAUCUUUGAACGCAUAUUGCGCCCUCUGGCAUUCCGGGGGGCAUGCCUGUCCGAGCGUCAUUGCUGCCCUCAAGCACGGCUUGUGUGUUGGGCCUCCGUCCUCCUCCCGGGGGACGGGCCCGAAAGGCAGCGGCGGCACCGCGUCCGGUCCUCGAGCGUAUGGGGCUUCGUCACCCGCUCUUGUAGGCCCGGCCGGCGCUUGCCGACACAUCAAUCUUUUUUCCAGGUUGACCUCGGAUCAGGUAGGGAUACCCGCUGAACUUAAGCAUAUCAAUAAGCGGAGGA